Molecule: RNA transcript, 1857 nt
Organism: Gallus gallus (chicken)
Lineage: Eukaryota; Metazoa; Chordata; Aves; Galliformes; Phasianidae
Exons: 6
Source: RefSeq, a predicted model, not a curated record
UAACCUUUGAAGGCUGCAAAUAGAUAAAGGCCUUCUUAUCCAUGCAGAGCACAGAAGAACUUGAGGGAGAACCUCGUGGUGAACUCAAGUGGUAGCAAAUAAUUGUAUGCAUUUUGAUACAUGAGCUGAACAGCAAAGAAUAAACAGCCAUGCUUUUUGUUUUGAUAAAGCAGCUUGAGAAGAGGUUUCAAGAUUACUUCAGAAAUGGUUAAUGAUGGCAGCAGAGGGGCACUCUGACAGAAUGGUGUUUGACGUGUAUGGGAACUGUUGAAUCACGGCCUGAACCUCUGAUUGACCACCUGAGGCGAGUGCUGAGUCAUCUGCAGUGGCACAGGUGAAAGCAAUUUCACCUGAGUGACUGGAAGACUGGUCACUCUGAGGCUGACUCCCAAGGAGGAAGGAUCUCUCUCUGGCGAUCACUCCCCUUGGGACCCUUCUGCGAGCCCAGGACACAGAUCCUAUCUCAAGGUCUUGUUUGCAAUGCCGAUAUGGAGUGGAAAUGUUUAAAUGCUCUGCUGGGCCCAACAUACAUUGGUUCUCCUGGAGCUGCAAUGUCUUGAGCUGGAGGAGAAAUGAGAGAUCAUCUGAAAUCUGCAUGGAUGAAGGUCGGACUGUGCCCCAAAGCCUGGUGACUCCUCCCCAGCUGUACCCAGCAGCAAAAGGAAGAGGAUCAUCACUGUGCCUUGUGAAGUUCCAUGUUGCUCCAGAUUCCAGACAGACGCUGCUUCGUGUACCCAGGACCUGUUUCAAAUUCAGCUAAUUCAGAUCAGGAAGCUGAUCCAACUCAUCAUUCAUUGCACAAUGGCUGGAGCUGGCAGGACAGGGAGCUGCAGCCAGAAACCGCAAGUAAUGCUCAUUUGGCAUCAGCAUGGUCUUUGGUGGACUUCAGGAUUUGAUUUUAGAAUGCACUAAUUAGCACCAAGAAUGGUGGUUAAUACAAAAGCACCUUCAGUAGUUUGAAAAACAGCAUAGCCUAUUAUUCCAGGACCCUGCUGUAGAUGGCCAUGUUUAGAACCAGUUCCUACGGGAAAGGAUUUUUAGUUUACACUGGCCAAGGGAAUCAGUUUGCCACCACUAUAGGUAGCAUAUGGAAUAACUGAAUAAAGCACAAAAUAAAACUGUAAGGUAAAGUCAAUUGAGAAUUCCCACUGCACACCCUUUUACCAAUCUCUACAGUAUGUUCCAGAACAGACUAGAGAAAUUAAAAAAGAAAAAAAAAAGUUUAAUGACAAUUUACAAAUAUACAAUACUUACAUUUUCAAAAGUUACAAAAAUGGUACAUUUAACAGAAACCAAAAGCUUCAUCCGACCUUUGGUACAUUUCAAAGUUAGCUAUUUACAAAGAAAAAUCACAGUCACUUCUCAUAGUGUCACAUGUUUACAUGUAAGCAUCCCUCAGCUAGAAAACAUCUCACAGCUUACCCACAGGCACUUCUUGCAGUGUGAGCUCUGCACCCAUCUAUCACACUGAGAAUUCUAUCAGCCCCCGCUAAGCUGACACGACAUCACAUUAUUAUGUUUUAACAGACGUUAGUUUGAAGAAUAUGUAUGCCAUAUGAUGUAUAUGACGAGAAUAUGAUGUAACCAUCACGCUAAACUGAUUCACAGUUGGUGACAUUUCACCUGGUGCAUUCUGCAUUGCUUCUGGUUUGGUACAAUGACAUAGGCUUCCUUUUCUAAUUAGCUUGUAAUACAUGUUAAGAAAAAAAAAAGGUUUGAUUUUAUUAAGUAGGAUAAUUCCAUCUCUUCAUGGAGGAAAUUAAAAACAAAAGUGUUCUUCCCAUGAUGUUAUUUCACCUUAUGAAAUUCGUAUAUUAAACCAUGCACAAUUUUUGCCUAAGGUAACAGACAAAUUGA